Molecule: long non-coding RNA, 1473 nt
Organism: Uranotaenia lowii
Lineage: Eukaryota; Metazoa; Arthropoda; Insecta; Diptera; Culicidae
Exons: 3
Source: RefSeq, a predicted model, not a curated record
AUAUGAAUCUAUAACAGCACUGAAACAAGAAAACCAUUAUUUUACAUGACACAGAAUGCGAUUUUCUUAUGUAAUUUUACAAAAACAAAAAUAAUUGAACCGUUUUAAGCACUGAGAUUGAAUCACACGAAUAAUACAUGACAUAGAACAAGAUUUUGUAAUGUAAAAUUACGUCAUUUAUUAUGCUUCUUUUUAUUUACAUCAUAUGUGAUGUAAUUUGACAGAUUAUUUUUGUAUACACAGAACAAUUUGAACCCUUAACAGCACUGAACAAAAGAUUUCCCAAAAAUUACAUGACAUGCAACACUAUACGACAUUGAAUUUUAAUUUGAUGAAUAUUACAUUACAUUGAACGCUAUUUUGUUAUGUAUAAUUACAGAUUGUUGAAAAUAGACAGCAAUUCGUUGUAAGAAAGUGGUCUCAUUGAAAAACUUGUUUCAUAUUGUUUCGACAAAUUUAUUAGCUCGUUUUCUUUCACGAUUAGCACUUCCGUGUGAUAUUUUCGCAGUGGUUUGUAAUAAUUUAAGUAUAGCGGCACGGACGACGGACUUUGACAGCAGCUCCCGUUUUCGUUUUGUUUAUUUUGGUAAGGAAAUUUAGUUGUUAUACAAUAUGAAAGAAAAUUUUUAUUUUUCAAUGGAUUUCAUCGUUCCUGAAUUACUCCCUGGGGUCCGGACCACUAGCAGCUGGCGCAAAACCAUUUGGAGUAAGCUGGACGAAAAUGCAAGAUUGGAAUUUUCAGGUAAAUAAGUUUGAUAAUCCAGCGUUUCAUAAAACUCAUACUUUCAUUUCUGUUAUUCUAGGAGCAAAAGCUUCCGGGAGCUGCUAGACGCUAACGUGAUCGACGGAGACAUUUGAUGGGCCAGAGGGCAAACAUGAAAGAGUUACGAAGUUGGCCACGAAAUGCGCCAUUUCAAGCUAAGUUGGCCAUUCAGACACCUAACGUGGACACACUAUGACUUCCUCGUCAGAAAUCCUACAGUAUGAACUGGCUGAAAGCAGCACAUAAAACCUAAUUGCGUGCUUUGAAAAAGGUAAAAAAUACUAGAAGGAUACAACGGAUUACGAAUUUUAACAUUAAUUGUUCAACAAAACAUCAAACGAGGCACAGUCAUUGACGUUUCUAAGACGCUUGAUUCUAGGAUAUGAACCUACCUAGCAAUUACAUCAAGCAAUUAUGUACUUCGAAAAUGAAACCUGCUGAUCUGGAAGUAGCUUGAUUAUGGAUUGAUUAGCUGUGCAAUCCGGAAACCUGUAGCAAAAGACGGAAUUCGGUACCCGGUUAAACGAAUAUGUAUGUAACUGUUUCGGAAAUUUACGUCGCUUUUGCGGAAACAUUUGACAAUCGAAUAUUCGCCAAGCAUAACUGGCAUCCCAAACGGAAAAAUGUUUUCUGUCGCCCACUGCCUGUAUACUCGUUUCUGCAUUCCAACAUAAAACGCAACCCUUCGGGACAAAAAGAAGACAUUUGCU